CAUAAGUAUAAAGGUUUAUUACUUCCACAGAAUUGUUAUAAAUAACAUUGUUUAUGUAAUAAUAAUUUGUCUUGUUGCAUCAAUUUGUCAAGGAGAUGGACGACAGUUCCAAAUACUUUGUUUUCUAGAAGUGUCUUAUUCUCUAAAGUAGAUUCCAGUUCAACUGGCAAAAAAUUUAAAUCAAAGUAUAAUAUAAUCCUUCAACAACAACCAAUUGUCGUUUUGCUUGACUCUGGAAAGAAAUGUGGAGAGAUAACGUUCUAGAAAGAACGUUAUCUCUCCAAAUACAGUUCUAUCUAUAGAAAACAAGGCUGUACCACUUUAAUGUAUAUCGCACUAUCAGGUAUGCUAACUUCUACAAAUUCCUGGAAAAUAUUAAUAACCAAUACCAAAAAACUCGUGAAUCUGCAGGAAGAAAUGGAACUGAUUAUGAAGAAAUGGAAGGAGAAACCGUUAUUUUUUCAUUGCUUCAGUAAUGGAGGAGCUGUAUUGUGCAGUACGACCUUAUUAGAGAAGAUUUAUUUAAAAGAAACGAGAUAUACAACAUCAAAGGAUGUAUUUUUGAUAGUAGUCCGGCAGAAGUUAAAUUGUCUUGUGUGCCGUAUGUUAUUAACAAUGAUUUUAACCGAAACCUAUACCAAGAUAACAGAGUAACAGUAUUCCGACAAGGUGUACUGUUACUCUGUGAACAUCGGAUAACACUAGUUGUCAGUUUUACCCUGUUUUAUCUUUUGUCGGGAAUAAUACAUAUUAACUGAAAAUAGAAUAGUCAUACACCUAUGUAGUAAAUAUAAUAACACAAUUUUAAAAUGUACCAUUAUAUGACAUCACUGAAGAGUGGUUGGGAACAUAAACCAAUCCGAAAUGCAUUUGCAUGAAAAAUUGUUUUAAAUAAGCCGUAACGUUUUCCUAACUAAUUGCUGUUUGGCAGAAUUUGAACAUACAGCAACCAUACUUUCUACAUUACGAUGUAAUAUAUUAAUAUAUGGAAAUAGAUUUAGACCAAACACAUGAUUGGAUUAAAUAUAAAUAUUAUCUUAUUACUAAAUUUUUAUAGAUAAAAAUAAUUUUAUUUUAUUAUUUUAGAUGAAGACUGUCUCUUUUAAAAUAAAUACAUACCUACAU
Long non-coding RNA from Centruroides sculpturatus (bark scorpion), 1125 nucleotides. RefSeq lists it as uncharacterized. The transcript is spliced from 3 exons. The record is from RefSeq and is a predicted model, not a curated record. NCBI's taxonomy places the organism in Eukaryota, Metazoa, Arthropoda, Arachnida, Scorpiones, Buthidae.